UUAUUGCGGUGACUAAUUUUAUUUGGUGUUUGAUUCCAAACAAAUAAACUUGACUUGCUUCGUCUUGUCUCUUAUGUAAAGAUGAGAAGAAGGAGAGCUGUGAAUGGGAGAAAAAGGUUCUGAAGAGAAGACUUUCUGAAUCGGCAAUCGAAAUAGAGAGACAGAGAAUGAAAUGCUUUCCAUGAAUUCAAUGGUGAGAAAUGUCUUACAAUGAAUUUUAAUGUUUCUUCUUAUUGCUUCCCCAACCAAAAAUCUUGUAAAUUUUCCCAUUAAUAUGUAUCACAUAUUGAGAUUAAGUUUGAAAGGGCUGUAGCAUCUUCUAUGGAAAAUAUUCAGUAAAUUAUAAAUAUGCACUGUCAACAAAAUGAAUUCA
This is a long non-coding RNA of Phalaenopsis equestris, 373 nucleotides long. RefSeq lists it as uncharacterized. Lineage: Eukaryota; Viridiplantae; Streptophyta; Magnoliopsida; Asparagales; Orchidaceae. The transcript has 2 exons. The record is from RefSeq and is a predicted model, not a curated record.